RNAcentral lists this ribosomal RNA (465 nucleotides) under Vreelandella stevensii. RNAcentral describes it as "partial 16S ribosomal RNA". It matches the Rfam family "Bacterial small subunit ribosomal RNA", at positions 338 to 795 of the family's 1533-position model. Lineage: Bacteria; Pseudomonadati; Pseudomonadota; Gammaproteobacteria; Oceanospirillales; Halomonadaceae. The record is from RNAcentral.
CCUACGGGGGGCUGCAGUGGGGAAUAUUGGACAAUGGGGGGAACCCUGAUCCAGCCAUGCCGCGUGUGUGAAGAAGGCCCUCGGGUUGUAAAGCACUUUCAGUGAGGAAGAACGCCUGGUGGUUAAUACCCAUCAGGAAAGACAUCACUCACAGAAGAAGCACCGGCUAACUCCGUGCCAGCAGCCGCGGUAAUACGGAGGGUGCGAGCGUUAAUCGGAAUUACUGGGCGUAAAGCGCGCGUAGGUGGCUUGAUAAGCCGGUUGUGAAAGCCCCGGGCUCAACCUGGGAACGGCAUCCGGAACUGUCAAGGUAGAGUGCAGGAGAGGAAGGUAGAAUUCCCGGUGUAGCGGUGAAAUGCGUAGAGAUCGGGAGGAAUACCAGUGGCGAAGGCGGCCUUCUGGACUGACACUGACACUGAGGUGCGAAAGCGUGGGUAGCAAACAGGAUUAGAUACCCGAGUAGUC